This 588-nucleotide ribosomal RNA is filed under the name Brevundimonas bullata. Its description in RNAcentral is "bacterial SSU rRNA". It matches the Rfam family "Bacterial small subunit ribosomal RNA", at positions 125 to 747 of the family's 1533-position model. Lineage: Bacteria; Pseudomonadati; Pseudomonadota; Alphaproteobacteria; Caulobacterales; Caulobacteraceae. The record is from RNAcentral.
CGUGCCUUUAGGUUCGGAAUAGCUCCUGGAAACGGGUGGUAAUGCCGAAUGUGCCCUUCGGGGGAAAGAUUUAUCGCCUUUAGAGCGGCCCGCGUCUGAUUAGCUAGUUGGUGAGGUAAUGGCUCACCAAGGCGACGAUCAGUAGCUGGUCUGAGAGGAUGACCAGCCACAUUGGGACUGAGACACGGCCCAAACACAUACGGGAGGCAGCAGUGGGGAAUCUUGCGCAAUGGGCGAAAGCCUGACGCAGCCAUGCCGCGUGAAUGAUGAAGGUCUUAGGAUUGUAAAAUUCUUUCACCGGGGACGAUAAUGACGGUACCCGGAGAAGAAGCCCCGGCUAACUUCGUGCCAGCAGCCGCGGUAAUACGAAGGGGGCUAGCGUUGCUCGGAAUUACUGGGCGUAAAGGGCGCGUAGGCGGACAUUUAAGUCAGGGGUGAAAUCCCAGAGCUCAACUCUGGAACUGCCUUUGAUACUGGGUGUCUUGAGUGUGAGAGAGGUAUGUGGAACUCCGAGUGUAGAGGUGAAAUUCGUAGAUAUUCGGAAGAACACCAGUGGCGAAGGCGACAUACUGGCUCAUUACUGACGCU